This 269-nucleotide unclassified non-coding RNA is filed under the name Hevea brasiliensis (rubber tree). Lineage: Eukaryota; Viridiplantae; Streptophyta; Magnoliopsida; Malpighiales; Euphorbiaceae. The record is from RNAcentral.
UCUCUGGUCACCUUAACAGACAAACCUAAGUAAUUCUUGCCUCACCAAAUUCACAUAAUUACUUCUGUUUAUCAUAUGUGUAGGUAGAUAAAAAAAACCAUUUUCUGGUUUUUAGAUUUUUUGGAGUUGCUUAUCUAUUAACCUUCUGGAGUCGGUCAUUUUGGUCUGCGACCAUAUAACAAUUUAUGGCUUCUUCUUUUCUUUCUUACCCCUCAUUGUCUUCCUUUGUGCUCAAAUUAAUUGUCAGAAAAGAAUGGUGUCGGUUUCAG